AUAUUUAUCAUUUUAUCACAUAAGCAUAUUACUCGUGAUAUUCCAAUUUGACUAGCAAAUCUAUCAUUAACGUGGAGUCACAAUGUAAAGCAUUACUUCAACACUGUCACUGGGCAUGUAAAAGGGAGGUGUCACCUAAAACCUAUAAUCAGGGCAUCUAAGUUGGGAGAUUUACCGCCGUUUUUCUUUUGGAUGGCUCAAUAAUGUCUACGGAUGUUCUGUUAAAGCGGGUUUUGGUUGCUCCGGAAGGAACUCACGGUUUCGACAGCCCAAUGAUAUGUUGUGGCGAGGGUGAAGUGAGAAGUCUGGUUUCAACUUUAUUUAUCUUAUCUAUUGUGAUUUCUGUUAAGCUUUCAGCUAGUUUGAUCUUUUAUGUUUAACUUGCCAGUUUCGAUUCAUUUUUGUGUGGUGUUUGUGCUUAUCGUUUUUAAACUAAUCUCCCGUGUGUGGGCUAUAGAUUCCGGCGAUAUUCAUUUCGUAUGUCGGCUUAAGACUCACGGGGUUGUAUAAACCAUCGUCUUUGUAUG
This is a long non-coding RNA of Raphanus sativus (radish), 527 nucleotides long. RefSeq lists it as uncharacterized. The record is from RefSeq and is a predicted model, not a curated record. The transcript is spliced from 2 exons. NCBI's taxonomy places the organism in Eukaryota, Viridiplantae, Streptophyta, Magnoliopsida, Brassicales, Brassicaceae.